GUAUUUGUUAUAUAGGCACAACAUUCUAUUAACAUACAUUGGGGUAAAAAUGAAGCAACAUAGACCUGAAAGGUCUACAAAAAGUGCACAGGUGGAGAUAUAAAGAUGACAAGGCGUGCACAUGCUCCCUAGAGAGCCAGCAACAACCCAUCAGGUUUAUUUCAAUAAUGAUCCUUCCGCAGGUUCACCUACGGAAA
This 197-nucleotide unclassified non-coding RNA is filed under the name uncultured fungus. RNAcentral's name for it is "sequence contains ITS1". Lineage: Eukaryota; Fungi. The record is from RNAcentral.